RNAcentral lists this ribosomal RNA (254 nucleotides) under uncultured bacterium. RNAcentral's name for it is "partial 16S ribosomal RNA". It matches the Rfam family "Bacterial small subunit ribosomal RNA", at positions 524 to 776 of the family's 1533-position model. The record is from RNAcentral.
CACGUAGGGUGCGAGCGUUGUCCGGAAUUAUUGGGCGUAAAGAGCUCGUAGGCGGUGUGUCGCGUCGGCCGUGAAAACUUGGGGCUUAACUCUGAGCGUGCGGUCGAUACGGGCAUCACUUGAGUUCGGCAGGGGAGACUGGAAUUCCUGGUGUAGCGGUGAAAUGCGCAGAUAUCAAGAGGAACACCUGCGGCGAAGGCGGGUUGCUGGGCCGACACUGACGCUGAGGCGCGAAAGCUAGGGGAGCGAACGGG